This is a non-coding RNA of Macaca mulatta (Rhesus monkey), 1788 nucleotides long. The record is from RefSeq and is a predicted model, not a curated record. NCBI's taxonomy places the organism in Eukaryota, Metazoa, Chordata, Mammalia, Primates, Cercopithecidae.
AUCUAAACAUAGAAAAGGUACAGUAAGAAUACAGUAUUAUAUAUGUAAUCUUAUAUAUUACAUGUAUGCAGUCUGUCCUUGACUGAAACAUUUGUGGCAUAUGACUGUAAUUAAAACUUAAUGUCCUAGGUAUAUAAACAAACAGUAUAUGAGACAGAAAAGACAUCAGAAGUACACCUCAACAUGGAAUGUAAUGACUUUAGAGAUUACCUGUAGAUAUAAACAUAUUAUUUAAAUUAUUUCCUAUUACCUGAAGUUUAAAAAAAUGACAGGUUUUGGGGCUUUGGGAAGAGGGUAUAAAAAGGAAAACUUAUCAAGAAACAUGCCCUCAGGAAGAAAACUGUGUGCUUAAAAGCUAGACGUGAAUGGGAUUGCCAUCUGCAGAUGAGAAGGCAAGACCUCCAGUGUUUGGGAAGACAUCACUUCAGUAUUGUAAUGUGACAGAAGAGACUGAGAACGACCCUAGUCACAUUUAUGUAGUCACCACUCCUGUGGUAUCUGAGGGAAAGCAACAGCACAACCACCUGUGCUGCAGCUGUGACUGUCGCCUGGGCACUCAGCUCUGCAGUCCUUCCUUUACCAAGCUAUAGCUCUAAGUAGUCCAGUAUUCAACUUUGAGGUCAAAUUUGAGGUCACACCAAAACUAUAAAAUAGAUCUUGAUAUAGUUGAAAUAAUGAGUAGUAUAUGACAAAAUCCUGCAGAAUAAAGGAGAAAAUGACUCCCCAAACUGUCCUUCAUUACUUCAUGUGGCUUUAAUGCUACUUUAAGGAGAGGUGAUCUCUUUGAAUGAGAAAGGCUUAUUAGUCAAACAUCAUUUUUAUGAUAGCUACCAUUUACUUACACACCUACUGUGUGCCAAGCAUCAUGCUAGCCAUUUUGUUUCAUUCACUAGGUAUACAACAAAGUACAAAACAAAUCUAGACCCAAAGGGCAUGGCUCACAGCCUAGCAGAGGAGAUAAACUUCAAGCAAGUAACAAAUGAUUCAAAAUUACAAUAAAGGCUAUAAAGGAAAAGAAGAAGUUACUAAGAUAAAUUAUAACAGAGAUUGAGUGUGUAGGGCACCUAUAGGAAUUUCAUUAAGAUGCUUUCAGCUACAAGGAAAAGAAACUCUGAACCAAAGUGGCCUGCACAAUAAAGAAGUUUCUUCUCUUGGCAGCUCAUGGAGAGCUAGAGCAGGUUUUGCAGUUGGUGGUUUCAGUGGCUAAACCGUAUUAUCAGGUGCCUGGGUUCUUGUGUUGGCUCUGCUGCCCACAGUAUCAAUUUCCUUUUAAGCCUGACUCUUUGUAUGGUUAUAAGAAGUCUAAAAAAAAUUGGGUGUUUGUUUUUCUCUCACUUAAAAAGUUGCAACUAGGAUUUCUUGUCUUCUUGUUCAUGUCCAGCAGGAGAGGGAAAGAGGAGUAUGCUAGGACUAAGUCCUUCCCUUCGGGCUAAUUGGUGCACCAUGGCAGAAGGACUGCUAGUUGUGCACCGAGAUCCAUGAUCCUAAGUUUUUAGUGGGGCACAGAGCCACCGGGAGCAAAGAUUACAUUUCCCAGCUUUCCUAAGAACCAGGUGUGGCCUUUUGACUCUUUUGGUAAUAGAGGUGAACCUUAGAAAGUUCUUCCUGAAUUGGGUCCAAAGGUUAUCCAGCCUCAAAAGAACAGAUAAAAGCCUAUUUCUGCCUUUUCUGAGUCACGUGAUGUUCUCUACAAGAUGGCUUCUCUCUGCCUGAAUUUCUCAUCCAGCAAUCCAGUUAGGCUGUAAGCAAUCUUGCUAUGUUGUUAUAAACUAUGCUCUGUGUAUUAAA